AAGAUUCUUGAGUUCCAAGGUCUAAAGGAGAUGGGAGCAGGGGCUGGGGACUUGGUAUGAGGCACAGAAGUGCACAUCUAUGAGAACUCCUGUGAUUAUGACUUUCAACACCCAGGCCUGGGCCUCUGGGACCAUGGUGGAGAGCAGGCUGUCCCACAAAGCAGGUUCCUAUGCACUUCAUGAGGGACCCUUGAGGAAUCUUAAACUGCCAGGUCACCAGCGAAUCUGAACCAAAGACAUGUUACCACCAUCGAAAAAGAUCCAUUUGCUUCAAAUUACCCUUUGAUUUUAAAAUGUCUUCACUGAGCAACAGAUGUCCUGGGUGCCAGUGGCUGGUUCCUACCUAUCUUUAACACUCAUCCCUGGCUGUGUUCUUCUGAAGUUUGGAGUCAAGAUGGCACUGCAGGAGCUUUAUAUGCCUAAGUGUGGCCAUGGAAAAGACAACUAGAGUUCCUCAGAUCUUCCAGAUAUUCCCCUACAUUAUCAAGACUCUCUUGCAGAAUGAGCAGAAUUCCAGAUGUUCCCCUACAUCACCAAGACUCUCUUGCAGAAUGAGCAGAAUCUGCACUGUGUCACUUCUGGAUGGAGGUAGCUAGAAAUCAGUGUGCUCUCUCCUACGCCCUUUCUCCCACUGCACCCCACUGGAAUACCAAGCAUUCCAAAUGGCACAGUGAGAAGCUUCAAAAGGGACUGGCCCAUAUUAGACUGUGAUGUGAAUGAAAAAUAUGUAUUUAUUGUAAUCAGUCACUGGUAUUUUAGACAUUUGUAUUACUAUUUAAUUACACACCUAUACUACUUAAGCCAACAUUCUUAAAAUAGACUAAAUCUAAAAUAUAAAAAUUAUAUAUAUAUGCAAAUGUGUCUCUAUAAGCUGUCUCAAUUAUUCUUCGAAUGUCUUUGUGACUGUUUAUACAUGUGAAGAUCCCAUGGGUGUAUGAGUGAAUUCCAUGAAGAGUGAGAACAUUAAAUAUUAAAUACAACUCUUUA
Long non-coding RNA from Mus musculus (house mouse), 987 nucleotides. RefSeq annotates it as predicted gene, 35194. The transcript has 3 exons. The record is from RefSeq and is marked validated. NCBI's taxonomy places the organism in Eukaryota, Metazoa, Chordata, Mammalia, Rodentia, Muridae.